AGAGUUUGAUUAUGGCUCAGGAUGAACGCAGCGACAGGCUAACACAUGCAAGUCGAGGGGCAGCAUAAAAGUAGCAAUACUUGGUGGCGACCGGCGCACGGGUGAGUAACGCGUAUGCAACCUACCUAUCAGAGGGGAAUAACCCGGCGAAAGUCGGACUAAUACCGCAUAAAACAGGGGCACCGCAUGGUGAUAUUUGUUAAAGAAAUUCGCUGAUAGAUGGGCAUGCGUUCCAUUAGGUAGUUGGUGAGGUAACGGCUCACCAAGCCGACGAUGGAUAGGGGAACUGAGAGGUUGGUCCCCCACACUGGUACUGAGACACGGACCAGACUCCUACGGGAGGCAGCAGUGAGGAAUAUUGGUCAAUGGGCGGGAGCCUGAACCAGCCAAGUCGCGUGAAGGAAAGAAGGAUCUAUGGUUCGUAAACUUCUUUUGCAGGGGAAUAAAGUGCAGGACGUGUCCUGUUUUGUAUGUACCCUGAGAAUAAGGAUCGGCUAACUCCGUGCCAGCAGCUGC
Molecule: ribosomal RNA, 516 nt
Filed under: uncultured bacterium
Lineage: Bacteria
Description: bacterial SSU rRNA
Rfam family: Bacterial small subunit ribosomal RNA
Source: RNAcentral